Molecule: ribosomal RNA, 375 nt
Filed under: uncultured bacterium
Lineage: Bacteria
Description: bacterial SSU rRNA
Rfam family: Bacterial small subunit ribosomal RNA
Source: RNAcentral
UAAUACAGAGGGUGCGAGCGUUAAUCGGAGUUACUGGGCGUAAAGGGCGCGUAGGCGGUGAUGUGAGUGCGAUGUGAAAGCCCUGGGCUUAACCUGGGAAGUGCAUCGUAAACUGCAUUGCUGGAGUAUAUGAGAGGGUGGCGGAAUUUCCGGUGUAGCGGUGAAAUGCGUAGAGAUCGGAAGGAACGUCGAUGGCGAAGGCAGCCACCUGGCAUAAUACUGACGCUGAGGCGCGAAAGCGUGGGGAGCGAACAGGAUUAGAUACCCUGGUAGUCCACGCUGUAAACGAUGAGAACUAGAUGUUGCAUGGGGAACCAAGCAGUAUCGAAGCUAACGCGAUAAGUUCUCCGCCUGGGAAGUACGGCCGCAAGGUUG